RNAcentral lists this ribosomal RNA (253 nucleotides) under uncultured bacterium. RNAcentral's name for it is "partial 16S ribosomal RNA". It matches the Rfam family "Bacterial small subunit ribosomal RNA", at positions 524 to 776 of the family's 1533-position model. The record is from RNAcentral.
UACAGAGGGUGCAAGCGUUAAUCGGAUUUACUGGGCGUAAAGCGUGAGUAGGUGGCUCGCUAAGUCGAUUGUGAAAGCCCUGGGCUCAACCUGGGAAUUGCAGUCGAUACUGGAGAGCUAGAGUUCGGUAGAGGGUGACGGAAUUCCCGGUGUAGCGGUGAAAUGCGCAGAUAUCAGGAGGAACACCGGCGGCGAAGGCGGGUUCCUGGGCCUUAACUGACGCUGAGACACGAAAGCUAGGGGAGCAAACAGG